UCCGUUAUGGUGUAGUGGCUAACAUUAUCGCCUCUCAUGCAGUCAAUAGGUGCGCCCAGGGUUCGAUUCCCAAUAACGGAA
Molecule: non-coding RNA, 81 nt
Organism: Paramarasmius palmivorus
Lineage: Eukaryota; Fungi; Basidiomycota; Agaricomycetes; Agaricales; Marasmiaceae
Source: the annotation of a GenBank genome assembly